Odocoileus virginianus texanus is the source of this 2212-nucleotide non-coding RNA. The record is from RefSeq and is a predicted model, not a curated record. NCBI's taxonomy places the organism in Eukaryota, Metazoa, Chordata, Mammalia, Artiodactyla, Cervidae.
AUGAGAGGUGGAGUCUGAACUGGGAGGGUGGUGGACUGGUUUAGCUCAAAUGUUAGCAGAAUUUCCUUUCAAUUCAUGUUUCCUGCUUUGAAACUACCGAGAAAAAGCACCACCAAAAUGACAGAGACGUCUUUAAAAAUCUUAGAGACAGGCCCUACCUGUAGAGAGGACAGGAAGGCGUGGAGAUCUGCUCUUCUUCCAAUAACUGGAAGACUCUCCAGGGAAAACAGCUUCAGUUUCUCUUACCUCUAGUUGCUUUUGGGCGUGGCCAUCUCUCCUGGACACGGACCUUUUGUGAGGGAGUUUGGCAAUAGGGGAGGUGAGGUAAAGAUCUCCAAAAGAAAGGCCUAGCAAUUACAUCUCCUGUUACACCUGCCAACCUUUACUGCUGCAUCGUGAUUAUCAUUGUGCUUAUAGCUCUAAAUGUGGUGUUACUUUUCAUUUUUUUGGCAGGUGAGUUACCUGUUCUUCAAGCCAUAUGAUGUUCUUUGCACAUUCACGUUGUAAAUAAAUAUUUAUUGAGCUCCAUUAUGUUCCAGGGUGUGUGAAAUGCUUGAGGUGUAUCAGUGAACAAAAUACUCCUAUUCUAUUAAUAGCAGGAAGAUGCAGAUGUUAUAGUAUAGGGUAAUAGGUUGAGAUAAAUGUAAAUGUCCAGGGCAAGCCUCCUUGAGAAAACGACUGUUCAGCAAACUAUUGAAGGAGAUGAAGGAGCCAUUGGGCAUGUGGGGAAUGCAUUGCAGAUGGCAGGAACAAGUAGAAUGAAAGGAGGAAGCUCCUGGCAGGUUUGGGGAACAGCACGGAGGCUUCUACACUUGAAGCAAGGUGAGAAUGAGGAAGAAUAAUGGGCUGGGGGUCAGGGAGGUCACAGCCUAAUGAGUCAGAUAAAGACUUUGGCUUUUAAUCUGAGUUCAUUGGGGGAUAGCAAGAAGAGGGAAAUUGUAGGAGAGGAAUGCCAUGAUCUGAAUUUCAUUGUAGAAUAAUAUUUUGACUGCUACAUUGAGAAUCAUGUAAUGUGUAUAUUUAUUAACAUAAUAGUUUUCAUAGAACAUUCUAUUCUAAGGCAAAUCCUCAAUAUAAUAAGAUCACUUGGGAAAAGCAACUGCCACUAGUUUGUACUCAGCAAGUGAUCACAGAUCUCAAUAUUCCAUUUUCCCAGAAACCAAAAACAAAAAACGACCUCAAAAGACUUGUUGUUUUGGCAAGCAGUUAAGUGCAAUCACAUUUCCAAGUAUUGAGUAACAGUUGGUGUUUUAUAAAUGACUAAGGCUGAUAACAUUCUAAGAGGCAUUAGAAAUGCACUGGAGAAUAUGUUCCUGGAAGUAAAAUAAGAUGAGAGAAAAUUAUGUAAUGGAUGGUGCCAAAAUACAUAUAAAGGAAAACUAUUCAUUUGGAAAAACAGACAAAUUUGGGCUUGGGAAACAUUUCUAAGAAUCUGUCUACCUGUAGAAAGUAGCCCCAGUUCACAUUUUGAGAAAAGCAAAAGAUUAUUAGCCAAGGCCAUAAAAGUACAAGAGUGUAGUUGCUCUUUGGCCAUGCUUUUUUUUCAACCCCUCAUUUUGGAAUUGAGUUAUACUGUACUUCCAUAGACAUGUACACACGUGUGUAUAUACAUAUGUAAAAAAAGACUGACCUCAGGAUGGUAAGUGGAAAAGUAGAUAAAAGGGAUAAGAAAAUUUAUUUGAUAUGCUGCAGUGUUUCUGUCCAACUUUUAGUGAGAAGCAGAAAGCCAGACCCACAUGUUCUGUAUGUCGCUUGCCCAAAAGGAUGGAUUGGAUUUGGGUAUAAGUGUUUUUAUUUUUCGGAAGACUCAAAGAAUUGGACAUUCAGUCAGACAUUCUGUACUUCACUGGGAGCUGUUCUUGUUCAGUUUGAAACGGAGGAGGAGCUGAACUUUCUGAAAAGAUACAAAGACUCUUCCGACCAUUGGAUUGGCCUUAGCAGAGAAUCAUCAAAUCAUCCUUGGAAGUGGACAGACAACUCUAAAUAUAAUGCCUCAUUUGUCAUCACAGGAACUGGGGAAUGUGCCUACCUGAAUGACAUUAGAAUUAGUAGUUCCAGGGUAUACGCAAAUAGAAAAUGGAUUUGCAGCAAGACAAAUAGUAAUGUCUUCAUACCUUUAAGUACUUCAAGGGCUUUUUAGGGAAUUUCACACACCAUUUCCAAGAGAUGCAUUUCACCCAGCCAUGUCUGACCUUUUGUGACCCCAUGGGCU